ACACAGGUGCUGCAUGGCUGUCGUCAGCUCGUGUCGUGAGAUGUUGGUUAAGUCCCGCAACGAGCGCAACCCUUGCCAUCAGUUGCUACGAAAGGGCACUCUGAUGGGACUGCCGGUGACAAACCGGAGGAAGGUGGGGAUGACGUCAAGUCCUCAUGGCCCUUAUAGGUGGGGCUACACACGUCAUACAAUGGCCGGUACAAAGGGCAGCAAACCCGCAGGGGGAGCCAAUCCAUCAAAGCCGGUCGUAGUCCGGAUCGCAGUCUGCAACUCGACUGCGUGAAGUCGGAAUCGCUAGUAAUCGUGGAUCAGCAUGUCACGGUGAAUACGUUCCCGGGUCUU
Molecule: ribosomal RNA, 342 nt
Filed under: uncultured Hydrogenophaga sp.
Lineage: Bacteria; Pseudomonadati; Pseudomonadota; Betaproteobacteria; Burkholderiales; Comamonadaceae
Description: bacterial SSU rRNA
Rfam family: Bacterial small subunit ribosomal RNA
Source: RNAcentral